This is a long non-coding RNA of Carassius auratus (goldfish), 1185 nucleotides long. RefSeq lists it as uncharacterized. The record is from RefSeq and is a predicted model, not a curated record. Lineage: Eukaryota; Metazoa; Chordata; Actinopteri; Cypriniformes; Cyprinidae. The transcript has 3 exons.
CUCACUUAGCCACUAAAUUGGGUCAAUAAUGAUCUUAAAGAAAAAUCCUCCAGAGGUGCAUGUACCAAAGCAAAAGCAGAAAAGUGUAAUUUGUACGGAGUACUAGAAAUCUCACUGACAUUAGUGGGAUAAGAGUCCAAAUCAGAGCUAACUUACAAACAUAGCACUUUCAGAUGUGCAAUUCCCAAGCUCUGUAGAAGCUAAACAUUGUAGCAAAACAUGUACACUGCAACUACAACAACUUCUUCUUUUUUUACCCUCAGAAUGGCGCAUCCAUACACCGCACCUCAAAAGUUGGCACUAAAAUGUGUUCAGACAUGCCUCAUCCAUAAAGCUGGCUCAUUUGUCCGCCAAGGCUUUAAAAUUGCAAUAGCAGCACAGCACACAUCAACAGUCCUUGCCCUCACAGAUGAUACUAGGACCAUUUAUCACAAGAAGAAUGGCUCUUAUCUUGAAUUUGAGUAGGGGGCAUCGUACAUUUAAAAAAACUGCACUUUGUCCGACAGACAUGGGAUGAUUUAUCUUCAUGUUGGAAGAUCCACUUUAAAGUUUAGAUCAGGUCCACUAAACCUUUCUGAGGAGGCAGAGAGAAUGGAUCCAUCCACCAUCCUCUUCUGCCACUGGUGAGGAGGAGGAGCUGUUUCCAACGAAAGGCUGAAAAAUUGCAGAAAGUAAGGAUGACCAUGUCUGACAUCCCAGUCUUGGACCUCAAGCUGAAGUGAGCCGAAAGGCUUCUUGACGUGUCCCUGUGGAGGGAUGAAGCACUUUCUGAACUCCAUGAGGGACACAAUGUGCACAUCAGUCACAUGCGUGCCACCAUUCUGGGAAGUGGCAAUGGAAAAUUACAGUCGUCAAACUAUACUACCAUUAAGGAAGUUGAUGAUGUGGGAGUGACAGAAAUUGACAACAACUGUCUUACCUCAGAUGAUGAGAUCUUUGUUGUGCCUUCUCAACAUUAUAGUAGCAACAUUGAUGACCUAAUCAUAGAGUUGCCAAUGAAAAUGAUUAUAAAGCAUGUUAAUAAACGAGUAGUUAGUGUACAAACAGUCAUCAAUUCAGAGAAUCAGUUUUGUUGUAGUCAUAGUUUUGUAGUUUAUUUGGUAGUAAUAUAUAUAAUCUUUUGUAAAAUAGUUAUAAUUAUUUGACACUAUUAGUUAUUUGUGCUUAUGGUAAUGCACAUUUAUG